Small nuclear RNA from Suncus etruscus (white-toothed pygmy shrew), 105 nucleotides. The record is from RefSeq and is a predicted model, not a curated record. Lineage: Eukaryota; Metazoa; Chordata; Mammalia; Eulipotyphla; Soricidae.
GUCAGUGCUCGCUUAUAUAUAUACUAAAUUGGAAUGAUACAAAGAAGAUUAGCUUGACUCCUGCACAAGGAUGACACGCAAAUUUGGGAAACUCUUUCGAAGUAU